This 1438-nucleotide ribosomal RNA is filed under the name uncultured organism. Its description in RNAcentral is "SSU rRNA". It matches the Rfam family "Bacterial small subunit ribosomal RNA". The record is from RNAcentral.
ACAGGCUUAACACAUGCAAGUCGAGGGGCAGCAUGGUCUUAGCUUGCUAAGGCCGAUGGCGACCGGCGCACGGGUGAGUAACACGUAUCCAACCUGCCGUCUACUCUUGGACAGCCUUCUGAAAGGAAGAUUAAUACAAGAUGGCAUCAUGAGUCCGCAUGUUCACAUGAUUAAAGGUAUUCCGGUAGACGAUGGGGAUGCGUUCCAUUAGAUAGUAGGCGGGGUAACGGCCCACCUAGUCUUCGAUGGAUAGGGGUUCUGAGAGGAAGGUCCCCCACAUUGGAACUGAGACACGGUCCAAACUCCUACGGGAGGCAGCAGUGAGGAAUAUUGGUCAAUGGGCGAGAGCCUGAACCAGCCAAGUAGCGUGAAGGAUGACUGCCCUAUGGGUUGUAAACUUCUUUUAUAAAGGAAUAAAGUCGGGUAUGGAUACCCGUUUGCAUGUACUUUAUGAAUAAGGAUCGGCUAACUCCGUGCCAGCAGCCGCGGUAAUACGGAGGAUCCGAGCGUUAUCCGGAUUUAUUGGGUUUAAAGGGAGCGUAGAUGGAUGUUUAAGUCAGUUGUGAAAGUUUGCGGCUCAACCGUAAAAUUGCAGUUGAUACUGGAUAUCUUGAGUGCAGUUGAGGCAGGCGGAAUUCGUGGUGUAGCGGUGAAAUGCUUAGAUAUCACGAAGAACUCCGAUUGCGAAGGCAGCCUGCUAAGCUGCAACUGACAUUGAGGCUCGAAAGUGUGGGUAUCAAACAGGAUUAGAUACCCUGGUAGUCCACACGGUAAACGAUGAAUACUCGCUGUUUGCGAUAUACAGCAAGCGGCCAAGCGAAAGCGUUAAGUAUUCCACCUGGGGAGUACGCCGGCAACGGUGAAACUCCAAGGGAAUUGACGGGGGGCCCGCACAAGCGGAGGAACAUGUGGUUUAAUUCGAUGAUACGCGAGGAACCUUACCCGGGCUUAAAUUGCAGAUGAAUUGCGGUGAAAGCCGUAAGCCGCAAGGCAUCUGUGAAGGUGCUGCAUGGUUGUCGUCAGCUCGUGCCGUGAGGUGUCGGGUUAAGUGCCAUAACGAGCGCAACCCUUGUUGUCAGUUACUAACAGGUUCCGCUGAGGACUCUGACAAGACUUCCAUCGUAAGAUGUGAGGAAGGUGGGGAUGACGUCAAAUCAGCACGGCCCUUACGUCCGGGGCUACACACGUGUUACAAUGGGGGGUACAGAGGGCCGCUACCACGCGAGUGGAUGCCAAUCCCCAAAACCUCUCUCAGUUCGGACUGGAGUCUGCAACCCGACUCCACGAAGCUGGAUUCGCUAGUAAUCGCGCAUCAGCCACGGCGCGGUGAAUACGUUCCCGGGCCUUGUACACACCGCCCGUCAAGCCAUGGGAGCCGGGGGUACCUGAAGUGCGUAACCGCGAGGAGCGCCCUAGGGUAAAACUGGUGACUGGGGCU